AUUGAACGCUGGCGGCAGGCCUAACACAUGCAAGUCGAGCGGAUGAAGGGAGCUUGCUCCUGGAUUCAGCGGCGGACGGGUGAGUAAUGCCUAGGAAUCUGCCUGGUAGUGGGGGAUAACGUCCGGAAACGGGCGCUAAUACCGCAUACGUCCUGAGGGAGAAAGUGGGGGAUCUUCGGACCUUACGCUAUCAGAUGAGCCUAGGUCGGAUUAGCUAGUUGGUGGGGUAAAGGCCUACCAAGGCGACGAUCCGUAACUGCUCUGAGAGGAUGAUCAGUCACACUGGAACUGAGACACGGUCCAGACUCCUACGGUAGGCAGCAGUGGGGAAUAUUGGACAAUGGGCGAAAGCCUGAUCCAGCCAUGCCGCGUGUGUGAAGAAGGUCUUCGGAUUGUAAAGCACUUUAAGUUGGGAGGAAGGGCAGUAAGUUAAUACCUUGCUGUUUUGACGUUACCAACAGAAUAAGCACCGGCUAACUUCGUG
RNAcentral lists this ribosomal RNA (484 nucleotides) under uncultured bacterium. RNAcentral describes it as "partial 16S ribosomal RNA". It matches the Rfam family "Bacterial small subunit ribosomal RNA", at positions 30 to 507 of the family's 1533-position model. The record is from RNAcentral.